CAACAACAGACUCGGUGAAAUUGUAAUUCCGGUGAAGAUGCCGGAUACCUGCGACAGGACGGAAAGACCCCAUGGAGCUUUACUGUAGCUUGACAUUGGGUCUUGGUACUACAUGUACAGGAUAGGUGGGAGGCUUUGAAACCAGGACGCCAGUUUUGGCGGAGCCAUCCUUGGGAUACCACCCUUGUAGUACUGGGACUCUAACCAUAGGCCAUGAAUCUGGUCUUGGGACACUGUCAGGUGGGCAGUUUGACUGGGGCGGUCGCCUCCCAAAAGGUAACGGAGGCGCUCAAAGGUUCUCUCAGUACGGUCGGAAAUCGUACGUAGAGUGUAAAGGCAAAAGAGAGCUUGAUUGCAAGACAUACAGGUCGAGCAAGGAUGAAAAUCGGACUUAGUGAUCCGGUGGUUCUGCGUGGAAGGGCCAUCGCUCAACGGAUAAAAGCUACCCUGGGGAUAACAGGCUUAUCUCCCCCAAGAGUCCACAUCGACGGGGAGGUUUGGCACCUCGAUGUCGGCUCAUCACAUCCUGGGGCUGUAGUAGGUCCCAAGGGUUGGGCUGUUCGCCCAUUAAAGUGGUACGCGAGCUGGGUUCAGAACGUCGUGAGACAGUUCGGUCCCUAUCCGUCGCAGGCGUAGGAAAUUUGAGAAGACCUGUCCUUAGUACGAGAGGACCGGGAUGGACGUACCUCUGGUGUACCAGUUGUCCUGCCAAGGGCAUGGCUGGGUAGCUAUGU
This 734-nucleotide ribosomal RNA is filed under the name Clostridioides difficile. RNAcentral describes it as "bacterial LSU rRNA". It matches the Rfam family "Bacterial large subunit ribosomal RNA", at positions 2022 to 2754 of the family's 2925-position model. The record is from RNAcentral. Lineage: Bacteria; Bacillati; Bacillota; Clostridia; Peptostreptococcales; Peptostreptococcaceae.